GAUGAACGCUGGCGGCGUGCCUAAUACAUGCAAGUCGAGCGAACAGACGAGGAGCUUGCUCCUCUGACGUUAGCGGCGGACGGGUGAGUAACACGUGGAUAACCUACCUAUAAGACUGGGAUAACUUCGGGAAACCGGUGCUAAUACCGGAUAAUAUAUUGAACCGCAUGGUUCAAUAGUGAAAGACGGUUUUGCUGUCACUUAUAGAUGGAUCCGCGCCGCAUUAGCUAGUUGGUAAGGUAACGGCUUACCAAGGCGACGAUGCGUAGCCGACCUGAGAGGGUGAUCGGCCACACGGGAACUGAGACACGGACCAGACUCCUACGGGAGGCAGCAGUAGGGAAUGUUCCGCAAGGGGCGAAAGCCUGACGGAGCAACGCCGAGUGAGUGAUGAAGGUCUUCGGAUCGUAAAACUCUGUUAUUAGGGAAGAACAAAUGUGUAAGUAACUAUGCACGUCUUGACGGUACCUAAUCAGAAAGCCACGGCUAACUACGUG
This 497-nucleotide ribosomal RNA is filed under the name uncultured bacterium. RNAcentral describes it as "partial 16S ribosomal RNA". It matches the Rfam family "Bacterial small subunit ribosomal RNA", at positions 28 to 507 of the family's 1533-position model. The record is from RNAcentral.